Molecule: long non-coding RNA, 423 nt
Organism: Girardinichthys multiradiatus
Lineage: Eukaryota; Metazoa; Chordata; Actinopteri; Cyprinodontiformes; Goodeidae
Exons: 3
Source: RefSeq, a predicted model, not a curated record
AGUUUACAGAGUAAAAAGGUUCAAUGCUUGUAAAUGCAGUAAACCACGUGACCGAUGACAAACGAUGCCUCUUCUUCUUCUUCUUAUAAUGGCGGUUGGCAAACAACUGAAGGAGGCAUUACCGCCACCAACUGGAAGUUUCCAAGGUGGUAUUGUAGGUAACGGAACUGAAACAACUGAAGGAGGCCUUACCGCCACCAACUGGGUUUGGUCUACUUUCAACAUAAGAUCUGGAACAAGGAAAGUGGCAGAAAUGGCGAGAUCUUUUCUGGAGGAGCCUUGAGAUGUUGGAGCCCAAAUACUCCCCAGAAAUCUCCAUCAGGAGAGUUUGAUCACACUGAGAUUAGAUGUCAGUAAUUUAUCUCAAUAAUAUUCUCAAUUCUUGUCUUGUUUGUAUAAUAUACAGGUCCUUCUCAAAAUAUU